Molecule: ribosomal RNA, 292 nt
Filed under: uncultured bacterium
Lineage: Bacteria
Description: partial 16S ribosomal RNA
Rfam family: Bacterial small subunit ribosomal RNA
Source: RNAcentral
GUGCCAGCAGCCGCGGUAAUACGAAGGGGGCGAGCGUUGUUCGGAUUUACUGGGCGUAAAGGGCGCGCAGGCGGCUUUGUUUGUCAGGCGUGAAAGCCCCGGGCUUAACCUGGGAACUGCGUUUGAUACGGCAGGGCUAGAGUUCGGGAGAGGAGCGUGGAAUUCCCAGUGUAGAGGUGAAAUUCGUAGAUAUUGGGAAGAACACCGGUGGCGAAGGCGGCGCUCUGGACCGAGACUGACGCUGAGGCGCGAAAGCGUGGGGAGCAAACAGGAUUAGAAACCCGGGUAGUCC